GAUGAACGCUGGCGGCGUGCCUAAUACAUGCAAGUCGAGCGAACAGACGAGGAGCUUGCUCCUCUGAUGUUAGCGGCGGACGGGUGAGUAACACGUGGAUAACCUACCUAUAAGACUGGGGUAACUUCGGGAAACCGGAGCUAAUACCGGAUAACAUGUUGAACCGCAUGGUUCAACAGUGAAAGACGGUCUUGCUGUCACUUAUAGAUGGAUCCGCGCCGCAUUAGCUAGUUGGUAAGGUAACAGCUUACCAAGGCAACGAUGCGUAGCCGACCUGAGAGGGUGAUCGGCCACACUGGAACUGAGACACGGUCCAGACUCCUACGGGAGGCAGCAGUAGGGAAUCUUCCGCAAUGGGCGAAAGCCUGACGGAGCAACGCCGCGUGAGUGAAGAAGGUCUUCGGAUCGUAAAACUCUGUUAUUAGGGAAGAACAAAUGUGUAAGUAACUAUGCACGUCUUGACGGUACCUAAUCAGAAAGCCACGGCUAACUACGUG
This 497-nucleotide ribosomal RNA is filed under the name uncultured bacterium. RNAcentral describes it as "partial 16S ribosomal RNA". It matches the Rfam family "Bacterial small subunit ribosomal RNA", at positions 28 to 507 of the family's 1533-position model. The record is from RNAcentral.